Molecule: long non-coding RNA, 1310 nt
Organism: Callithrix jacchus (white-tufted-ear marmoset)
Lineage: Eukaryota; Metazoa; Chordata; Mammalia; Primates; Cebidae
Source: RefSeq, a predicted model, not a curated record
CUGGAGGGAGCCCUCUAAUAAUGAUAUGGUUUGGCUCUGUGUCCCCACCCAAAUCCCAUCUUGAAUUGUAAUCUGAUUGUAAUCUGAGAUUGGGGUGUGGCCUGGUGGGAGGUGAUUGAGUCAUGGGAGCAGACUUCCCCCUUACUGUUCUUCUGAUAGUGUUCACAUGAGAUCUGGUUGUUUUGAUAAGUGUCUGGUGGUCCUUCCCCGCCGUGGACUCUCUCUCUCUCUCUCUCCUGCUGCCAUGAUUGUUAGUUUACUGAGGCCUCCCCAGCCAUGCAGAACUGUGAACCUUUUUUGUUUAUCUCAGGUAUUUCUUUAUAGCAGGGUGAAAAUGGACUAAUGCAAACAAGAUGGAGGGACUGGCCACUGGAAGUCAGGCUGUUACAUGUGGAAACGGUCUAACAAUGCACCUGGCUGGAUCAGGAGCAUCCACCUUUUUCUCCAAAUGAAGUGUUACACACAGGCGUUUGCUGUGCGUCCUCAGACCACCUCAGCUCCUCCUCCCCUACACCUGGGACUCCGCAGCGCAGACUUGGCUUCAAACGAGGCUCACGGUUCUUCCUGGCAUUUGCUUUUUUGGCUUAGUGAGUGCACAUUCAAUAUCUUUUUCUUCUUCUCUUGAAAGCACUGUCUUCAGUCUCCUCACUUGUCCCUUUCUCCUCUGGCAAGUGUAAUGCUAUCGACAUUUGAAAGUGGCCUGGUUCCUUUGUGUCUGGUAAAUGGCCUUGCUGCUGAAUUUCCGUAGAACUGUGCAGAAACUAGAGCACGGGGGGUGAAGGGAGCUGCUCUCUCGGGGCUCAGCCGCCCUCCUGGGGCCCCACCUCACGCUAGGGGCUGGUAGCGGGUGGGACCUGGAGUUUCCUUCCUAAAUUUGAGCAAUGACUCGGCCUUAGCCACUCUUGACUUUGCUCUGCUUCGGUUUAGCAUCUGUUAAGUAGUGACCUUUGCCACCAAUUAAUGAGGGUGAGGCCCCAUUCGCUUGCAAAGAAGUGGAAUUGUAAACAAACAAACUUCCAAGUGGAAAGACUAGUUCUAGGGGAAAUGUGGGUGGGAAAGGUGCUCCUGUAUUCUCCUUUUAGUAUGAGAGACAUGCCUCCUUUCUCCUGUUCAAGCACUCAGAUUGAUCCCUCCUCUGGGGCAGAAUCCUAAGCCUGACACUCUCUCCUAAAUAUGCUGUUGUGUCUCAUAUGUCAGCUUCUCAGGGUCCUGCCAAGAGAGGGUGAGGUAACAUACAACAGCUGUUACUGCCCUGAUGUAUCCUCCCUCCCAAUGUCAACAACAUACACUUUGGAGUGCCCUCUUUAUGU